RNAcentral lists this ribosomal RNA (654 nucleotides) under Chaetothyriales sp. A546. Its description in RNAcentral is "SSU rRNA". It matches the Rfam family "Eukaryotic small subunit ribosomal RNA", at positions 149 to 813 of the family's 1831-position model. Lineage: Eukaryota; Fungi; Ascomycota; Eurotiomycetes; Chaetothyriales. The record is from RNAcentral.
GUGGUAAUUCUAGAGCUAAUACAUGCUAAAAACCUCCACUUCGGAAGGGGUGUAUUUAUUAGAUAAAAAACCAAUGCCCUUCGGGGCUCCUUGGUGAAUCAUAAUAACUUAACGAAUCGCAUGGCCUUGCGCCGGCGAUGGUUCAUUCAAAUUUCUGCCCUAUCAACUUUCGAUGGUAAGAUAGAGGCUUACCAUGGUCUUAACGGGUAACGGGGAAUUAGGGUUCUAUUCCGGAGAGGGAGCCUGAGAAACGGCUACCACAUCCAAGGAAGGCAGCAGGCGCGCAAAUUACCCAAUCCCGACACGGGGAGGUAGUGACAAUAAAUACUGAUACGGGGCUCUUUUGGGUCUCGUAAUUGGAAUGAGUACAAUCUAAAUCCCUUAACGAGGAACAAUUGGAGGGCAAGUCUGGUGCCAGCAGCCGCGGUAAUUCCAGCUCCAAUAGCGUAUAUUAAAGUUGUUGCCGUUAAAAAGCUCGUAGUUGAACCUUGGGCCUGGCUGACCUGUCCUCCUAAUCGAGCGCACGGGUUCGGUCGGGCCUUUCCUUCUAGGGAACCCCAUGCCCUUCACUGGGUGUGGUGGGGAACUAGGACUUUUACCUUGAAAAAAUUAGAGUGUUCAAAGCAGGCCUUUGCUCGAAUACAUUAGCAUGGA